RNAcentral lists this ribosomal RNA (475 nucleotides) under Streptococcus mitis. Its description in RNAcentral is "bacterial SSU rRNA". It matches the Rfam family "Bacterial small subunit ribosomal RNA", at positions 28 to 489 of the family's 1533-position model. The record is from RNAcentral. Lineage: Bacteria; Bacillati; Bacillota; Bacilli; Lactobacillales; Streptococcaceae.
GACGAACGCUGGCGGCGUGCCUAAUAUAUGCAAGUAGAACGCUGAAGGAGGAGCUUGCUUCUCUGGAUGAGUUGCGAACGGGUGAGUAACGCGUAGGUAACCUGCCUGGUAGCGGGGGAUAACUAUUGGAAACGAUAGCUAAUACCGCAUAAUAGCAGUUAUUGCAUGAUAACUGUUUGAAAGGUGCAAUUGCACCACUACCAGAUGGACCUGCGUUGUAUUAGCUAGUUGGUGGGGUAACGGCUCACCAAGGCGACGAUACAUAGCCGACCUGAGAGGGUGAUCGGCCACACUGGGACUGAGACACGGCCCAGACUCCUACGGGAGGCAGCAGUAGGGAAUCUUCGGCAAUGGACGGAAGUCUGACCGAGCAACGCCGCGUGAGUGAAGAAGGUUUUCGGAUCGUAAAGCUCUGUUGUAAGAGAAGAACGAGUGUGAGAGUGGAAAGUUCACACUGUGACGUAUCUACCAGAAA